Molecule: transfer RNA, 73 nt
Filed under: candidate division MSBL1 archaeon SCGC-AAA259E19
Lineage: Archaea; Methanobacteriati; Methanobacteriota
Description: candidate divison MSBL1 archaeon SCGC-AAA259E19 tRNA
Rfam family: tRNA
About the family: Transfer RNA (tRNA) molecules are approximately 80 nucleotides in length. Their secondary structure includes four short double-helical elements and three loops (D, anti-codon, and T loops).
Source: Rfam by way of RNAcentral
GCCCUGGUAGUGUAGUGGACGAUCAUGUGGCCCUGUCGAGGCCAUGACCCGGGUUCAAAUCCCGGCCGGGGCG